AAAAAAAUUAGUAUCAAAAGUACCCAAAAAAAAUAAAACCUUCUGAUUCUCCAUAAAUAAAGCCACACCCGCACAGGCCCAGACACCAUUAGGUUACAACGCGUACCCCUCCCUCUCUCUGUCUAGCAGUAUCCAUGGCGUCAGCCAACUCGGUAAAAAUUUUGGAGGUCUGCCAGGUUGCUCCGGCCAUAAAGUCAGGCGAAUCAGCCACAGCAUUAUCUCUCCCUCUCACAUUUUAUGAUAUAAGGUAUUUCAGAUUUCCUCCAGCUGAGCGUCUCUACUUCUACAAACUCACUGCCUCAUCCACAACAUUUUUCCAUUCUCAAAUCCUUCCACUCCUCAAACACGCACUCUCACAAACGCUUGUCCACUUCCUCCCUCUAGUUGGAAAACUCACUUGGCCAUCUCAUUCCUCCAAACCCAUCAUCGUCUACGCUCCCAAUGAUGCCGUUUCACUCACUGUUGCGGAGUCUUGUGCUGAUUUUAAUCGCUUGGUGGGCAAUGAAAUUCGUGAAGUAUCUGAGUCGUGGCCAUACGUACCCGAGUUGUUAGCAUCAGAUGCAAUGGCCUCUAUAAUUGCUUUGCAGAUUACUUUAUUUCCCAAUAAAGGAUUUUCCAUCGGCAUCGCUAUGAACCACACAGCACUCGAUGGAAGGAGCGCUUCCAUGUUCCUCAAAGCAUG
RNAcentral lists this unclassified non-coding RNA (682 nucleotides) under Hevea brasiliensis (rubber tree). Lineage: Eukaryota; Viridiplantae; Streptophyta; Magnoliopsida; Malpighiales; Euphorbiaceae. The record is from RNAcentral.